UGCUCUCUGAUUCAGCGGCGGACGGGUGAGUAAUGCCUAGGAAUCUGCCUGAUAGUGGGGGACAACGUUUCGAAAGGAACGCUAAUACCGCAUACGUCCUACGGGAGAAAGCAGGGGACCUUCGGGCCUUGCGCUAUCAGAUGAGCCUAGGUCGGAUUAGCUAGUUGGUGAGGUAACGGCUCACCAAGGCGACGAUCCGUAACUGGUCUGAGAGGAUGAUCAGUCACACUGGAACUGAGACACGGUCCAGACUCCUACGGGAGGCAGCAGUGGGGAAUAUUGGACAAUGGGCGAAAGCCUGAUCCAGCCAUGCCGCGUGUGUGAAGAAGGUCUUCGGAUUGUAAAGCACUUUAAGUUGGGAGGAAGGGCAUUAACCUAAUACGUUAGUGUUUUGACGUUACCGACAGAAUAAGCACCGGCUAACUUCGUGCCAGCAGCCGCGGUAAUACGAAGGGUGCAAGCGUUAAUCGGAAUUACUGGGCGUAAAGCGCGCGUAGGUGGUUUGUUAAGUUGAAUGUGAAAGCCCCGGGCUCAACCUGGGAACUGCAUCCAAAACUGGCAAGCUAGAGUAUGGCAGAGGGUGGUGGAAUUUCCUGUGUA
Molecule: ribosomal RNA, 600 nt
Filed under: uncultured bacterium
Lineage: Bacteria
Description: bacterial SSU rRNA
Rfam family: Bacterial small subunit ribosomal RNA
Source: RNAcentral